UUUAUAUAAAUGCAUCAUAAUUCUCAAUAUUCAGUCAGGAGCAGUGUGAGUAAGCUGAAGCAAUAUAUAAAGAUGUUUACAAUGACCAAAGCUGUAGUGCUUGCUGUUUUAUGUGGCGCAUGUUUUGGAAUGGCAAGUUAUGAGGUAAAUGAAGACUUCGAUAUGGAAGCAUUGGUAAAUGAUAAGGCCAGUUUUAAAGUCGCAGUCGAAUGUUUCUUGGAUAAAGCACCGUGUGGUGAAUUUCAGAUGUAUAAAGAUAUAGCACAAGAUACAGUAGAAGCAGCAUGUGAUCAAUGCAGCCCUAAACUGAAGCAUUUGGCCCAUACGUUUAUGCAGGGUCUGGAGAAAAACAAUCCCGAAUAUUACGGAGACUUCGUCAAGAAGUUCGACCCCACUGGCAAAUACAUGGACAAAUUCAUAAAAGCUGUUGAAGAUUUCUGAGGCACUGCUUAUGUACAACUUCCAUUGUAAUAAAUCAUGGGGUUUUCUAUAA
Molecule: long non-coding RNA, 493 nt
Organism: Leptidea sinapis
Lineage: Eukaryota; Metazoa; Arthropoda; Insecta; Lepidoptera; Pieridae
Exons: 3
Source: RefSeq, a predicted model, not a curated record